CUAACACAUGCAAGUCGAACGGGAAGCUCAUUUCGAUGAGUGGAGAGUGCGCACGGGUGCGUAACACGUGGCUCACCUGGCCCGAAGAGUGGGAUAACUGCGGAAACGUGGGCUAAUACCGCAUAAGCUCCCGCGCUGUAGAGGCGUAGAGAAAAGGCGAUUAGUGCUUCGGGAUGGGGCUGCGGCCCAUCAGGUAUUGGUGAGGUAAGAGCUUACCAAGGCGACGACGGGUAGGGGGCCUGAGAGGUGGUCCCCCACACUGGGACUGAGACACGGCCCAGACUCCUACGGGAGCAGCAGUGAGGGAUAUUGCGCAAUGGACGAAAGUCUGACCCAGCGACGCGCUUGGGCGAAUAAGGUGUUCGGAUCGUACAGCCCUUUCCUGCGUGAUGUCAUGACG
Molecule: ribosomal RNA, 400 nt
Filed under: uncultured bacterium
Lineage: Bacteria
Description: bacterial SSU rRNA
Rfam family: Bacterial small subunit ribosomal RNA
Source: RNAcentral